AAAAUUAAAAAAAUAUCAUAGAGUUACAUAAUAUAUAAUACUAAAAUGAAAAUUAUAUAUUUAAAACAUUUGUAAUAAUAUCAAAUACAUUUAUAAAAUAAAAAUAUAUGCACAUAUGUGCGGGAUAUAAUCUAGUUUUUCAUUAAGAGAAAGGAUAGUGGAAGUGAAAAAUCUUGUUUCAUUAUUAUUUCAUUAGGAUUUGGAAAUAAAAAAUAAUUUUGCAGAAAGAAUGAAAGAAAGAAAAAAACCCAAUUUGUUUACGAGAAACCACUAUAAAUCAAUUAAUCUUGAUUAUAAUUCUCCAUUAAAAAAAAAAAGACCCAUAUGAAAUAUCAGUAGUAACCAAGUUGCUUUGGGCUAGUGGUAUAGGAGCUCCAGCUAGAGUGUCCGCCCCUGGGUUCGAGCUUUGGCCACUGCGGAAUUUACAUGUGGGCUGUAGCAUCCGAGACCGAAGACCGUUACACGGUGAGCCACAUGGUGACGCCUUGGCAGCGUCCAUGCUCACUUCGGUCUCUAGUCUGCACCACCUCGGCGGGGCCAGGAUAUUCGGUUAGCAAAAAAAAAAAAAAAAAUAUCAGUAGUAACUCAUGUCACGUGAUCGAUGAAAAUAUUUCAUUCAAUUAGAAAAAUAAUGCUGUUCACGUGCAGUGAAAAUAACCAAUGCCUUUUUGUGUGUUUCUCAAUUUAUCCACGUCUAUUUAUAAAUAAAUCCUCAAUCCUGAAUACAUUGGUUUUCCCGUGGCCGGUCUUGGAACAAAGACAAAGAUUGAACUCUAUUUUUUUUUACAUAAGAGGUUGUUUUUGGCAUGUUCUUUUUUGUUUCUAUAAAUUUUAAUGUUAUAAUAAUACUGACACUUCUUAAAAGCCACAAAGCCUCGCGUCUGUCUUCUCCCUCCGGGGGUUGGACAUGUACGUGGUGGGUACAUCUCGGCAUGUGGUGGGUGAGAGAACUGAGAAGUCGCAGGGGUGUUUUAAUCAUUUAGCGAUCUGUAGGAGUACAACUUCUCAAAAAGAAAUGUAAUUUUAUCACAGCUAGGACAUCCAUUUUUUUUUGUUCAACGACAUCCAAAUUUAUAUAAAAAUAAAAAUAUGUAUGUUUAUCUGACUAAAAGGGCAACACACAUGAAAAAAUAUAUAUACAUCGAAAACUACAUUCCAUCUAAAAACGUGGUGGAUAUAUCUAAGGAUUUGGUUGAUAAUCCACUUCCGAAGCAAAGUUUAUCCGAUCUCUAUGUAAUAGUUUGUAAGAUAUUAAUAAAAGAAAAAAGAGUUUGAAAAUGUAACAAUGGUUCACUAAGAGCUUUAUAAACCACUAAAAAUAAAGAGAUUUUGAUCAACAUCAUAGGUAUGAAGGAGAGAUUUUUAAGACAUUUUCUAAGGUCACAAUCCACAGUGAUAUAUGACGCAUAAUUGUAUUUAUAAACUUGUAAAAAUUUCAAACACAUCCCUUAUAUAUUAAUGCGCAAAUCGUCUAACUAAUUAAAUAAUGACAUGUGGAAAAUUUGACAAAACAGUAAAUAAAUAAAAACAAUUAAAAAGAAAAAAUAGCAAAAGCAAAACAAGUUAAAAUUUUCAAAUUACUAACUUUUUAUAACCUCCUUCACAAAGACAAAAUAUCCAUUACUGUAAAAGUUCUGUUCAUAAGUUUUACGUUACGUUAACUGUUAGACGUUUAACGUAACCAACACUACAAGCUGGAAGAAUGAAGAUUCUCAAUCCAUGGUGUUCAAAGAAAAAAAAAGAUUCUCAAUCCAAAAAAUAUAAGAAAAACGAAGAAUACAACCGCAACAUCAAAAGGCAAAACACAAUCUGUCACAAUGAUAAAUGAUUUUAAUUACACUACCAAUGAUGAACAUCAUUAAAAUAAAAUAAAAAUAGUUUGAGAUAAUAAAAACACAAGAAAAAAAUAGGAAAGAAAGAUGCAAGAAACAUGUUUCAGAGUUACGUGUCAAUUUACAUAGUUACUAGAUAAAAUAAAAAUAAAAAAUUUACUUCACCUCGCCGUCCAUUAUUCUUUCAGCACCUCCACGAUCACCAUUUAGUUUUUAGUCAUAUAUUCUAUUAUUUAUAAGAUUAUUCCAUUACUCCACAGUUCAAAAGAUCUCUCUUUUGUUUUCAUCUUUCUUCUUCAUUUUUCAUUUUGUGCUCGAGUGUAGCAAAAAAAAUCUAUGCAAAUGUCUUGCCUAUAUAUUCAUAUUUAUUUGUUUCUUUCUCAGUUUAACAAUUUUAGUGCUCUCUAAUUCUUUCUACAUGAUUCAGGUUGAGAGGUUGAAGAUGGUAGUUCUCCUAUUUCAAAAACUUAAUUCCUUCAAAGAAGAAGAAAAAGAAAAUUCAAAACGUUGUCAGCAACUUAGGUAACAGUAAGUAUGUCUUAAUUUACUAUAUACAAAUUGAUUAUUUACAGAUCUUUGUUUUUUUUAUAACAGAACAUAUUCAACUAUUUUCAGUAAAAAAAAACAUAUUCAACUAUUUUUUCAAAUAUGUUUAUGAAUCUAUUAUAUACAAGUUGACUAUUUUAUACAUGUUUUCUUUCUUAUCAUUGAAGUUCAGGUUGUUGAUGACUGUAGAGGAAAAGGAAAACGAUGGAGAAGAAUCUUAAAACGCAAGUUCAAACAAAAUAUUCAGAAAUGUAUUUUUUACUUGGCCUUUUAUAUUUGUCAUGUCAAAAGUAACCGAGUUGGUAAAAGAACUGGCUUAGUCUUAGUGUCUUUUCCCGUUUGCUUAUAUUAGAUUUUUUUGUGACUAUUUAUUCCGUGAUGGAAAAUAAAAGUUUCAUUAUAAAACAUACGAACACAGAACACAAGGUAGUGACAUUACAGAGCACCAAUGUUCUCAAGGCCGAGCACAACUCCGACGCCGAUGAUGUGUCCUACGUUGCCGGCGAGCAUCUACCGGCUUCUUUGGAGAUCACAGAAAUCGAUUCUGUUUGGGCUAGAUAAGGUUGUCGAGGAAUGCACCUCAAAGAGUAAGGCCCAUCAGGCACUUUAGUGCUAUUACUCUUUGAAGAAAACAAAAUUGUGAAUUAGCCCAAAUAUUAUAUUUCGUUCAAAAAUUAACUAACCCAUGUUAUGGAUAUAUACUAUAUGUGAAGCCACUUCCACAAACCAUAUUUGAACUGUUCGGUAAAGAUCAUAGUCGGAACUUGUUGAGAAUAGCACGCAUAUUAAACUCGAAAAAGCAAGAAAUUAGAGAGUACACUUGACUGAGACAAACUUUUGUAUCAAUGAUGUCAACAAUAAGUUAUAAACCUCUAGACAUGUACUUAUAAGCCUCAAAUCACAGUUUUCUAUUUCGACCAAAAAUGAGUUUCCUAAUCGAAUAGAGUACUAUAUCGUGGGAGUCUCCUACCUUGACUUUUUACUAUUUUACUAGUAUGUCGAAAUUUAAUUCUCAGCAAGUGUAAGAGAGCUACUCGGGUUGUUCGUUUCUUCAUUCAAAUGAUCCAUUCGAAUGGAAAUAGACUUUUUGUUCGUUUAGACACAAAAAGUACAACUCAUUCGGAUGGUUCAUUUGAAUGAUUUUCGAAAAAUUAGGUUUAAUUUCAAAAACCAGUUGAAUGAACCGAAUCGAAUUAUUUGGCUGGAACUGGUUCAGUCAAAAUGCUUAAAAGUAUAUAUUACCCCUCAUAAACUUCUGAAGUAACAAACCUAAUUAUCCAAGUCUCACUCUCGUAUCUCUCUCACCUCUCUCAAUGCCGUCAAUCUCCACAUCUCGUAUCUCUCUCGCCAUGAAAGCCGCUGGAGCUUGAGCUCUCUCCGCCUCUCUCUCUCUACCUCUCCGCCUCUCUCUCUCAGCCUCUAUCUCUCCGCCUCUCUCUCUCAGCCUCUACCUCUCCGCCUUUCUCUCUCACCGCAUCUCUCUCUCGCUACAUCUCUCUCUCUCGAGUAUCUCUCUAAGUCUCUCUCGAUUUUUUGUUUUUCUUCUGUUUGAAGUUCCUCUGUUCAUUGAUGGGUUUGAUUGUUCUCUGAUUUAUGAAUGAUGAAUGAUGGGUUUGUUUGUUCUCUGACAUUGAUUCUUCUGUGAAUUAUGAAUGAUGGGUUUGAUUGUUCUCUGACAUUGAUUGUUCUUUUGUGAAUAUCUUUAUCUCACUAGUAGAAUCUCAUAGCUUGUGAAUUAUGAAUGAUGGGUUUGAUUGUUCUUCUGUGAAUUAUGAAAAAUGGGUUUGAUUGCUCUAUGACAUUGUCUCUCUCUUCAACUUGCUCAUAAACCAUAUGACAAGAAGCUACUGAUCUUCAAGAGUAUUCUAACGCAAAGCUUGAGAAGGUUACUCGUGGAGCAUUGAGAAGUUUAGUGGUGCUCUGUCCCUUAAGUGGUGCUCACUGAUUUUUUGAUUCAGCACUGUUUGAAGCUUCCUUGCUAGUUUGAUAGUACACUUUUAAAGAUGUGGUGUAUUGGUUUCUCAAACAGAUGAAUAUAAAACUGUGCUUAGCUGUCCUUUAAGAUGUUUAUUUUGUUUUGGCUACCGUCUUUUCCCUUCAAGUUUGGUAGUCAUGAUUGGUUUGUCUUGAAUUUUAAUUCUUGCUACGACCAGUUUGGUCUUGAAUUUUAUAUUGAAAUAAAGCGUUAAAAAAAGUUGUGCUUAGCUCUCGUUUGUCUUGUUUAAGCUUGUCUAGUUUCUUAAACUAUUCCACUGACCAUUGGAACUUUAUUCUCUUGUAGAUACUUGUUGCAAUGACCUCUGUCCCUGGUACUGAUAUAAGUACAUUUUUAACUGAAUGCUUCUCUUAGUUUAGUUAGGUUCUCCUAUUAAAUAUUUGUAUAUCCAAAGUCUCUUGCAUGGACUGAUGAACAAACCCGGUUCUAUCUACAACUGAGAAUUAGCUGAAAGGAAAUGACAGAAAGCAAAAUAUCAAUGAAGCUGGGAGACAGUCCAUCAUUGACAAAUUCUAUGAAGCUUAUGGGGAAAGACAUCCUUGGAAAAAAUUUGGGAUCAAACACACUACUUGCAAGACUCAGUAUACUAAAUACAAGCGGCUGAUUCACAAGAGAACUGGCCUUGGCUAUGAUCCAUUUGGGUUCAUAGACAUGUCAGAUGACUGGUGGAAUGAACUUUUUAAGGUAUACAAUUGUCAGUUGGAUGGAGAUGACAAAUGGAGAAACGAACAGCCCCACUAUCAUCUUUUUAUUCAAGUUCAGCUUAACCUUUUGAGUGUGUUGUCGAGGGACUUCUCCAAAUUUGUAUUACAAAAUUAACAUUUUAUGAAAAAAAAAACACUUAUGGUCAA
Brassica napus (rape) is the source of this 5225-nucleotide long non-coding RNA. RefSeq lists it as uncharacterized. The transcript has 2 exons. The record is from RefSeq and is a predicted model, not a curated record. NCBI's taxonomy places the organism in Eukaryota, Viridiplantae, Streptophyta, Magnoliopsida, Brassicales, Brassicaceae.